AAAUCCUCCCUUUCCAUGCCAUGGAAUAGCUGUGGAACCAUUUUGUGGAGGCUGCUAUGGUUCAGUGGUUGGAAUAAGGCCUGUUAAGAUACAUAACACAGGCUAAAUUAUGGCCAUAGCUUUGCAAUGUGAAAUUACACCACCUCUGGGGACACACUAAGCACUAUGUUCACAUUUGAGAGAUCUGGAACACCUGGAGGCUGUGGGCACAGACUAUUACCUCUUUCUGUAGACUGAUUCCUAGAGGAGGUGGUGUAAGAACAAAGCUCAUUUUGGAACUGAAAUCCUCUUUUUGCGAGACAGGAGAGGAAGCAUCUGAGAAAAUAUUCAAAGAUCAUGAGGAACAGAAAGAAACAGAACAGCUAGGAGGGGCAGAUGAAAUGAAGAGCAAAGGAUCAAAACAGACUCACCAUCCUGGAAGAAAACAGGCAGAUGAGAACAGCAGAACAGUUCCUAAAAAAUGAUAAAUGACAAACUUGCUUAAACCCUGCACUUGCAAUUUACUUGAAGAAAAU
Long non-coding RNA from Dermochelys coriacea (leatherback sea turtle), 515 nucleotides. RefSeq lists it as uncharacterized. NCBI's taxonomy places the organism in Eukaryota, Metazoa, Chordata, Testudines, Dermochelyidae. The record is from RefSeq and is a predicted model, not a curated record. The transcript is spliced from 5 exons.